UGGGGAAUAUUGCACAAUGGGCGAAAGCCUGAUGCAGCGACGCCGCGUGAGGGAUGACGGCCUUCGGGUUGUAAACCUCUUUCAGCAGGGACGAAGCGCAAGUGACGGUACCUGCAGAAGAAGCACCGGCUAACUACGUGCCAGCAGCCGCGGUAAUACGUAGGGUGCAAGCGUUGUCCGGAAUUACUGGGCGUAAAGAGUUCGUAGGCGGUUUGUCGCGUCGGUUGUGAAAACCAGCAGCUCAACUGCUAGCGUGCGGGCGAUAUGGGCAGACUUGAGUACUGCAGGGGAGACUGGAAUUCCUGGUGUAGCGGUGGAAUGCGCAGAUAGCAGGAGGAACACCGGUGGCGAAGGCGGGUCUCUGGGCAGUAAAUGACGCUGAGGAACGAAAGCGUGAGUAGCGAACAGG
This 409-nucleotide ribosomal RNA is filed under the name bacterium. RNAcentral's name for it is "partial 16S ribosomal RNA". It matches the Rfam family "Bacterial small subunit ribosomal RNA", at positions 355 to 776 of the family's 1533-position model. The record is from RNAcentral.